GACGACGCUGGCGGCGUGCUUAACACAUGCAAGUCGAACGGUGACGAGGAGCUUGCUCCUCCGAUCAGUGGCGAACGGGUGAGUAACACGUGAGUAACCUGCCCCAGACUCUGGGAUAACAGUUGGAAACAGCUGCUAAUACCGGAUACGAGACGGAGAGGCAUCUCUACCGUCUGGAAAGUUUUUCGGUCUGGGAUGGACUCGCGGCCUAUCAGCUUGUUGGUGAGGUAAUGGCUCACCAAGGCGACGACGGGUAGCCGGCCUGAGAGGGCGACCGGCCACACUGGGACUGAGACACGGCCCAGACUCCUACGGGAGGCAGCAGUGGGGAAUAUUGCACAAUGGGCGAAAGCCUGAUGCAGCGACGCCGCGUGAGGGAUGACGGCCUUCGGGUUGUAAACCUCUUUCAGCAGGAAAGAAGCGAAAGUGACGGUACCUGCAGAAGAAGCACCGGCUAACUACGUG
RNAcentral lists this ribosomal RNA (465 nucleotides) under uncultured bacterium. RNAcentral's name for it is "bacterial SSU rRNA". It matches the Rfam family "Bacterial small subunit ribosomal RNA", at positions 33 to 507 of the family's 1533-position model. The record is from RNAcentral.